GUAGGUGGCAAGCGUUGUCCGGAAUUAUUGGGCGUAAAGCGCGCGCAGGUGGUUCUUUAAGUCUGAUGUGAAAGACCCCCGGGCUCAACCCGGGGGAGGGUCAUUGGAAACUGGGGAACUUGAGUGCAGGAGAGGAAAGUGGAAUUCCACGUGUAGCGGUGAAAUGCGUAGAUAUGUGGAGGAACACCAGUGGCGAAGGCGACUUUCUGGCCUGUAACUGACACUGAGGCGCGAAAGCGUGGGGAGCAAACAGGAUUAGAUACCCUGGUAGUCCACGCCGUAAACGAUGAGUGCUAAGUGUUGGGGGGUUUCCGCCCCUCAGUGCUGCAGCUAACGCAUUAAGCACUCCGCCUGGGGAGUGCGGUCGCAAGACUG
Molecule: ribosomal RNA, 375 nt
Filed under: uncultured organism
Description: partial 16S ribosomal RNA
Rfam family: Bacterial small subunit ribosomal RNA
Source: RNAcentral